Molecule: long non-coding RNA, 3079 nt
Organism: Gopherus flavomarginatus (Mexican gopher tortoise)
Lineage: Eukaryota; Metazoa; Chordata; Testudines; Testudinidae
Exons: 2
Source: RefSeq, a predicted model, not a curated record
UCAGGGUCAGGAAUCAGCGCGGACUGUGCUUGGUGCAGGGAGGGGCUGCUUUCUGCCCCAGCUGGCUGUGAAAAAAUAUAGACAGAGGCGAACCAAAGGCAAUACAAGUUACCGAACUAUGAUUACAUUUGCAAAGCUUAACUGUCCAGUAAGAUCCAACAGUGUGCCUUUGUGACCCCGGAGCCAGUGUGGCUUGGUGACACCGAAGAAGCCGCAGGCAGCUGACCUGGACUGGAAUCUCUGAAAGAGACGCUGCAGAAGAUUCCAGGGUGCAAGAGAACAGCCCUCCAAAGAGCGGAAGUAUGUUAGAAAUUCUGGACAAGCUGUAUACAGGAUAAUCUCCAGUCCACCUCUCCCCCCUUCUCUGAACAUUAUACACAGAAGUGGCCAGUCUGGACGUACGUGUGUGGAUAAUCAGAGAAAACUGAUGCCAGCUGAACAGCAUUCAACGUACCAUGGAUUUACUGGCACAAUAGGAAUUAUGUUUUGUGUUCUAUGUUCUGUCUUGUGGUGUUUGUCUUGUGGCCGGAAUUUUUGUGUUUAAUAUUUUUAUAAAAUAGUCUAGUUUAAACUCAAACAAAAAGGUUAAAUUAAAAUGCAGAUAUUUGUUUUGUUCAACUUGGAAUACAAAGUGUUUGGAUAAAUCAGGAGAAUGUGAUAUACUAAAGUCUAAUGCAUUUCCUCAAGAAAAAGAAAUUUCAUUGGCCAAACUGUUAAUUGCAAAAAUUGUUGUUAACAUUUGCAUACCAACAGUCUUUAAAAGCAAGGACAUAAAAGUUAACCCACUUCCCAUAUUGUAUAUGGGAUCCUUCUGGCUACUUCAGAUUUCUAGCCAGAGGGCUGGGGAUGGUGGGAAGCUGUUGGACUAGAGGUUGAAUUGAAUAAACUCCUCAAAGUGGGUGUGCUUGUCCUGGCUUGUUGCUCCAAAGUUCUGUAAUAAGGUUAUUUUAGUAAAAGGGUGUGUGUAGCAUAUAUUAAAUAAUAAGACUAAUGUACUGUAUAAUGACAAUGUUUAUGUCUUCAUUGUUGGGAAAAAGGUGUAUAAGUAAAAAGUGGAAGUUUCCUUUGCAGGUUAAAAGAAGCCAAGAAAGGAAGAAGGACAAAGAACAGAAUGAGUUAACUGGAAAAAAAGAAUUAGCUAGCAAGCUCAGGCUAUAGAUAAGACACUGACUCCACUCAAGGACACUGCUCACAGUUCAGACUUGGCUAACAACUAGGAAAAGGAGGGCUUGAAUUUGCCCACGCAGCUAUGAGAUCUGAAAAACACUGCCAGGCACUAAUGAAAUGUGUUAAGCUUCUUUUCUCACAGGUAAAGAAGCGCUACCCAAAGACCCUAGCAGCCCUGCCGCUCUUUGGAACCAGGAGACGGGAUUGAUGUAAAGGUCCACCGAUGAAAGUCUGCUCUGGCUCCACCCUGGAAAGGCCCUUAAGUCCCGGUGACUACCAACAUCGCUGUAAAAUAUCAAAGACUGACUGCAUGGACCCAAGAUUCUCACUGCAAAAAGACCCCUCCACAUCGGGAGAAUUCUCCUACUGAUGAUUAGCCUAUUUCACCUUCUAGCUCCACUGUGCCUUCUGGACAGUAGGGAAAAAAUACAAGGAUGCUGCACCACGACUGUUUUGGGAAAGAAGAAGGAACACUCGCUCCACUGAAACGGCCAAAGUCCAGGAAUUCCUGACUAGAAAGGACAUUAAGAACUGACCUUGGUGAAGAAACAAAGAAUUAUACACUGGUGGGAGGACAUUUGUGGGACCCAUGUUUGGGAAUGUGGUAUUGAAUGGAUUUUGGGGUUUAUUCUACAGGCUGCGCCCUGUGUUUUGGAUAAAUCCUUCAGCAUGUAUUGCUCUCUCUAAUUCGAUUUUAAAUAACAAGUACCUAAAGAGUUUGUUCUGCUACUAGAAAUUUUACCCGUAUUGAAACCAUUCCAGUGACUAAUAAUGUAUGCUAUUAAUGGGAAUGCCUUUUGACAGUACCUGAGAAUAGUUAAAUAACAGGUGUAUUAUAGUACUACACCAAGAAAAGAUGGUAUUAAAUAUAACUGAGGCUGGGAAGGCAUUGCAGUGGGAUCUAGUAUGUUUAGGAAUUUGGGAUUUCCUAAAUGACCAGCUGAUGGCCAUUCGGAGUGAUCUUGAGUACCAGACUUGGCCCACUGCCCUUACAGAUGCAUCAGGAAUACCAUCUGAUCUGUGAUCAUGGAGACAUAUGUGGACACUUCCUGGGUGGAAGUGUGGCUUCCCAGGGCUGGGUGUGCGCCCUUAUAGGGGAUGAAUGCUGUACUUAUGUCCCAGAAAGCGCACAGGAUAUUAACAAGCACAUCCUGUCAGCUAAACAGGCUUUUGAACAGUGGAAGGCCCAGGAAAGGAAACCUACUCUUUCUGAUUCCCUCUGGGGCUGGUUACUCAACCUGGGAGAACUAGAGGAAGGUAUUGUUCACCUCCUGCUCACUGGUGUGGUGUUGUGUAUCGUUACUCUUCUCUUGCUUGCUUGCUGUAAAGCACUCCAGCUCCCUAGAGCUUAAACACAUAUUAUCCUUUAAAUGUGAGAACACUCAGCCAAAAGUUUGUUGAGUAUUCUCAAAGGAAGGAGCUGUUGGUGUCACUCUGGCAUAAUCCUAAGUAACUUGGAAAGGGGGUAGACCACAAGUGUCAAUGAAGCCCUCCUGUUGUAGGCCUCAAUGAACCAAUGUUCCUCCAUGUUCAACACUUUGUGUAACCUAGUGUAACCUAAUGUACUAAUAGUUGCAAAAAUGUAAUGUUAGCAGUUAGCUUUUGGUUGUAACAGCCAGUUCUCUGCUGUAAUACAUUGAAGCUAGGCUAAAGCAAGUUUCAAGGCCACUUUUAGAUACAGCAUACAUGUCUCUGCAGUAGAAAGGGGGAGAGGGAGGGGGAAAACAAAGAAAUGUGUGAGAAGAGAAUGCUGCAGCUGGACAGAAGAGGGAGGGGAAACGGGGGAUUGCUAGUCAGUGAGAAAAGUUCUCAUGGAUAUAAAGGAACAGACGGCUUGUUUUAGGUGUGCUUGAUCUGAGUCAAUCUCCCUGCACCGCUUUGAGAUCUCAAAUAAACUUGGUUUGCUUCUCCA